This 403-nucleotide ribosomal RNA is filed under the name bacterium. Its description in RNAcentral is "partial 16S ribosomal RNA". It matches the Rfam family "Bacterial small subunit ribosomal RNA", at positions 355 to 776 of the family's 1533-position model. RNAcentral also lists the same sequence under 1 other name. The record is from RNAcentral.
UGGGGAAUAUUGCACAAUGGAGGGAACUCUGAUGCAGCGACGCCGCGUGAACGAAGAAGGCUUUCGAGUCGUAAAGUUCUUUUAUAUGGGAAGAUAAUGACGGUACCAUAAGAAAAAGCCCCGGCUAACUACGUGCCAGCAGCCGCGGUAAUACGUAGGGGGCUAGCGUUGUCCGGAAUCACUGGGCGUAAAGGGUUCGCAGGCGGAAAUGCAAGUCAGGUGUAAAAGGCAGUAGCUUAACUACUGUAAGCAUUUGAAACUGCAUAUCUUGAGAAGAGUAGGGGUAAGUGGAAUUUUUAGUGUAGCGGUGAAAUGCGUAGAUAUUAAAAAGAAUACCGGUGGCGAAGGCGACUUACUGGGCUCAUUCUGACGCUGAGGAACGAAAGCGUGGGUAGCAAACAGG